This is a long non-coding RNA of Triticum dicoccoides, 630 nucleotides long. RefSeq lists it as uncharacterized. Lineage: Eukaryota; Viridiplantae; Streptophyta; Magnoliopsida; Poales; Poaceae. The transcript has 4 exons. The record is from RefSeq and is a predicted model, not a curated record.
GCCGCUCGCCUGCGGCGCCGCGGCCUCGACGCCGCAUCCCCAACCCACUACUCCCCGCCGCGGCGCCGCCACUCUCCCUCCGCGCCAGCCGCCUGCGCGCCCCUCUCUCCGCCUCCGCGCCCUACGCGCCCUCCCUCCCUCCUCGUGCCACCCGGGGAGGUAGCUCGGCCGCUUUCCCGCGAUGCUGCAGUGGACGGGAGGCUCCAGGAGGCAGGUGUAUGCCUCCAGGAAAUCGACACAGAGCAGGCAGAGGUAGUACUUUGAACAAAAGAAGCGGCAGCAGCAGACGGCAGGGCUGCAGAACCAGGAUGGCACAGAUGGCGCAGGCGGCCAAGCUGUUGGUGAUCAGGCACCUCGAUCGCUUGACAUCCUAAGCCUGAACAAUUCGGCAGCUCCAGUCAGUCACCGCAAUGGCCCUGAAAAUGCAGGUAGUUUUCUUCCAAAUUUGGACAACGCAAGUUUUUGUGCUUCCCCUCUAGAGGCGCUGAAGAAGAUCACUUCUUCAUAUAAUAUUGAUCCGAAGGAAACAAGUAAGAGUACAGCUAUAUGUAUAUCAGAUGAGGGAAUUCAUUAUGCUUUUCUUGUUAUAUUGUAUUUGCAUGCUUAGCACAGAUAUAUUAACAAGAUCAA